UGGACAGAUUAUUGUAUUCGACUGUAUUCACGGCGUCAAACAAGGGAUUACAUUGUUUUUAAACGAAAAAUGAAUCAAUCAACAUAAUAGACUCCU
This is a non-coding RNA of Nicotiana sylvestris (wood tobacco), 96 nucleotides long. NCBI's taxonomy places the organism in Eukaryota, Viridiplantae, Streptophyta, Magnoliopsida, Solanales, Solanaceae. The record is from Rfam.